AAUCAACGCUGGCGGCGUGCCUAACACAUGCAAGUCGAACGCGAAAGCCCCUUCGGGGGCAAGUAGAGUGGCGUCCGGGUGAGUAACACGUGGGUAAUCUACCUCCGGGUGGGGAAUAACUCGCCGAAAGGUGGGCUAAUACCGCAUAAUGCAGCGGCACCGAAUGGUGAUUAGUUGUUAAAGCGGGGGACCUUAGGGCCUCGCGUCUGGAGAGGAGCCUGCGGCAGAUUAGCUUGUUGGAGGGUAAUGGCCUACCAAGGCUGCGAUCUGUAGCUGGUCUGAGAGGACGGCCAGCCACACUGGCACUGACACACGGGCCAGACUCCUACGGGAGGCAGCAGUGGGGAAUUUUGGGCAAUGGGCGAAAGCCUGACCCAGCAACGCCGCGUGAAGGAGGAAAUCCUUCGGGGAUGUAAACUUCACAAGCAAGGGAAGAGCGCGCAGGGUCGAAUAAACUCUGCGUCCGACGGUACCUUGCGUAAGCCACGGCUAACUACGUGCCAGCCGCCG
Molecule: ribosomal RNA, 510 nt
Filed under: uncultured bacterium
Lineage: Bacteria
Description: bacterial SSU rRNA
Rfam family: Bacterial small subunit ribosomal RNA
Source: RNAcentral